ACCGUGUCAUGAGAAACCUUAGAGCUUCCACUCAUGGGUCCUUCGGAACGCUCACGCCGGGGGAAGCCAGCCAUCACACGAGACGUAUUCCCAAGUAUUCUGGGCCCCCAUGCUGUAGGGAAGCCAAACUAGUCAUGUAGGGGAGGCUGUGGAGAGAGAGAGAUUCUUGACCAGUCCCCCCUCCGCUCAGCCGCCCCACUGGUCCCAGACCGAGAAUCACACAUUCGAACAGAAAAGCGUUCACAUCUCUCCAGCCCCAGCCGCCUUUGAUGGCUCCUGCUCUAGCAUUCCUAGUUGCAAGCUCCAUAUUUCCCAGUUGAGUCCCUGUCCUGAUGGAACAGCUACUUCCCAAUCCACGUGGAGCCCUGCCUUGCUGAGCUGCCCUCAUCUCCCUUUGGCCUCUCAGUGGCUCUGCACGGCUCACCUUAUGCCCGCUGGAGCCAGAACCCAUGAUGGAGACAGAUGAAGCCACGCUGGAGGUCUUCCAAAGGGGCAAUCCCAGAGAGGUAUGGAAUUUGACCCAAGGCUUGAUUUUCUGAAUGCGGAAGCACACGGCAUGACCAUCAACUUGAAGGAAGCUGGGAGCAGUCAGCUUGACAACCCGAGGUCAGAGGUCAUAUCUGGAAAGGCACAGGCAGAGAGGAAUUCAUGAAGAUUUCUCGCAAGAUCCAAGAAGCUUUUUUAAAAAAGAGAGUCUUUGGGGGCUCGUUUUGGUUAAAUACUGCAGUAAGAAAUAGGUGCCUUCUUUUGGCUUUGUAUUUCCUUUUGUUUCCACCUCCAGCUGUCUGUACUUUGAUCUGGUCCACAUGUCAGUCCCAAGACUGACAUCACAAUGACAAAAGCUUGACUGUGAGUGAAGAACACAGCCGAACGGAUAUAUGGCAGCAAGCAUUCCGUAUCCGAGGGCGCUCGGAAUGUUCGAGAAUGUUCAUCACUUCUUCCUAUCCUUUAGCUAUCAGUAUCACGCAGGAAGGAAUCUGGUUUUCCUCCUUUUCAGAGACAGCCUCACAGCCACACUGAGAUAAUGGGUUUCACGUGGAGUUUUCUGGGCUGUGGACAAGGGGAAGGCUUGGGUUUAGGGUGAAGAGCCUAUCUUGGAUUUUGGAGUGGAAAUGUUUGGCUCUGGGCCCUCGUGCUACAACGAGCUGAUUAGGGGACCCCUCGGAUCUGAAAAUAGAGCCCUUUGGCGUGAUUAACAUUAAAUGAGAUAAUAAACGGGAAGCACUGAA
Long non-coding RNA from Neofelis nebulosa (Clouded leopard), 1229 nucleotides. RefSeq lists it as uncharacterized. NCBI's taxonomy places the organism in Eukaryota, Metazoa, Chordata, Mammalia, Carnivora, Felidae. The transcript is spliced from 4 exons. The record is from RefSeq and is a predicted model, not a curated record.